Molecule: long non-coding RNA, 2148 nt
Organism: Chelonia mydas (Green sea turtle)
Lineage: Eukaryota; Metazoa; Chordata; Testudines; Cheloniidae
Exons: 4
Source: RefSeq, a predicted model, not a curated record
AUUGCAGGGGACAGGGGCUGCUGGAUUUGAAUUUCUGAAUUGAAAAUUGUUGUUUUGGCUUUGGGCAGACUCCAAACCAAAAGGCGCUCAUUCUUUGGUUCCAGUUUGGAUGAAGCUGAUAGCUUUUAAGAGCAGAUUAUGAAGUGCGGAUGCCUUAGCUGGACCUUAGCCUUGAAAAUGAAUCUUUAAAAAUCCUUUCCUUCAACCUAUCUCAGCAUAUUGCAUGAUUCACUUUUUUAAAGAACCAAAUUUCUCAUGCUGCCACAAGGCUGUUUGUUUCACACACAUUUCUAUCAUUUUCCCUGAAAAAGGUCAAAAAGAAGAGUUACUGAGCACAGGAGAUCACUGUUACUUCCCUUUGCAAUUGGCUCAGGCUGCCAAGGGCAACAACCGCAUUCAGCUAUAGUGAUCUUGCCUUUUUAGAGAACUAUUCAAGGAAAGAGGAGGCGAUAGUUCAAGAAAAAACAUUCAGCAAGCUAAGGGGUGAACCUCUUAGCUGUGCUGUUUGAUAGGAUGAACACCAGAGGGGGUCAGCAGAACGGUGUCUGUCCAACUGCACAAAGAAAGCAUCAGUGCAACCAGAUUAGACGGCUCGAACACUAUCAUGCUGAUUCUGACUAUUAAAAAUAUCUUUCACAUGCUGCAUUUGUAGAGCACUGGGGUAUGCAGCCCCUCAAAACAACAAGCCAAACAUGAUCAGAGCCAGAACACAGAUAUUGUAUCAGACUGACCUGUAUCAUUAUUUAUUAUUUGUAUUACUGGAGUGCCUAGGAGCCUUAGACAUGGACGAAGAUCCUAUUGUGGUGGGAUCUGUGCAAACAGAACAAAUGCAGAAGAAAUAGAUUGUUAACACUGUAUCCUGUUUAUAAAACACUUUUGGUCUGGACAGUGCUUUGCAAUGUAUAUUGGCCAGGUUUGCAAACUGGUCUCUAAAACUUGGACCUGCAUAUUUUGCACAUGAAACUGUUUUCACUCUCUCUCUCCCUCCCCCCUCUCCCCCCCCCAAAAAGGACAAAAGAAAAGGCGUUAUCAAAGAUGCUGUCAAAAUGGGGCAUAUUUGGGACAAACAUGUGAAUGGGGCAACUCAAAUCAAGGAUGUGAUCACUGUGUGAAGCAAGAGGAUGUCAUGUGCAAGAUCAACCACAGCAACUGGGAAACAGGAGGCUCACACAACAAUUUAAAGGAAAAGUCCCAAGAUACUUAUUCCUGCUGCCAGAGGAAAGAAGAAAUCAUUGGACAGGUUAUGCUUUGUUCAGGAUACCAGCAAGAACUGUAGAUAGACUGACAGAUGCUGCACUGUAGAAAACACGGCAAAAAGCCAUCACAUUUUGUUCAUGCUACAAGUGCAUAGGAAAUCCACUCCACAUCUGGACAACUAAAUUGACUGGAGUUACUCAAGCUUUGAUGAAAACACAUUUAAUGUUAAAAGAAAACACUGGUAAGGCCAAAAAGAACAAGAAAAGAGCCUUUCAAACAGUCAUGGAGAAAUUCAGGCAACUGGUAGGGUUCAUUACUACAGAUCGGCACCAUAUGCAACUUUUUAUUAUGGACACAUUAAGGGAGAAUCUUACCACUGAUUGGAUGGAAAUAAAGAGCAAAGCACCACCAGAUAAAGGAUUGUAAGCUCUUUGGAACACAGCCUGUUUUGGUUCUGGGUUUGCACAGCACCUAGCGAAGUAGGGUACUGACCCAAACUGUGGGGAGUCUAAAAGAAAAUUCAAUGAGGGAAAAUGUUUCCCCAGAGGAUUCAACUCCAGAUCCAAGGUAAGGGUUUCCCAGUGUACUGGUGUCUAGUGGACUGUACUACAGACAGAGACUUUGGAAACUUGUCAUACCAAUACAGCAUUUAUUUGAUUUUACUUCCAGCCCUGUGCUCAUUUGUGUAGAACAUGUUGUGACCCGGGGUGCCUAGGGCAGCCUUCACUGACAAUGACAAGGUCAGGACAAGCUGCAAAAGGGAGCACAGACACUCCCCAAACUAGUGGUAAAUACUGAAGUUAAGCUCACCCACCAGUCACAAACUGUGCUUCUGAUCCCCCACGCUGGUUAUCGAGAAGCUAAAAAAAAGAAGUCACACAGCCCCCUUUCUUGCAUUCCAGUUCUCUGGCUCCCAAUCAGCGCAUAGGUCCAGUACAGCGAGAAGUUAUU